RNAcentral lists this ribosomal RNA (975 nucleotides) under uncultured bacterium. RNAcentral's name for it is "partial 16S ribosomal RNA". The stretch from base 34 to 650 matches the Rfam family "Bacterial small subunit ribosomal RNA". The record is from RNAcentral.
UGACUAAACGACCGCGCGACUGUUUNACGGUCUUAAGCAUUGAGGCGGUUGGUUUUAAGAUCUAACACUGGCCGCUCGUUUUACACGCCUAUACUGCGUCGAGCGAGUGGAUACGCUGCUCUAUGAGUCGGCGGACGGGUGAUCACGUGGGUCCUGCCUGAACUGGAUCUCCGGGAAACCGGGGCUAAUACCGGAUAAUAUUUUGAACUGCAUGGUUCGAAAUUGAAAGAGCGGCUUCGGCUGUCGCUUAUGGAUGGACCCGCGUACACAUUAGACUAAUUGNUAGAAGUAACGGCUCACCAAUGGCAACNAUAGCGUANCCAGACCUAGAGAGGGUGAUCGGCCACACUGGGACUGAGACACGGCCCAGACUCCUACGGGAGGCAGCAGAAGGGAAUCUUCCGCAAUGGACGAAAGUCUGACGGAGCAACAGACCGCGAUGAGUGAUGAAGGCUAUACGAGGUCGUAAAACUCUGUGUUAGGGAAGAACAAGUGGUAGUUAGAAUAAGCUGGCACCUUGACGGUACUAACCAGAAAGCCACGGUAACUACGUGCCAGCAGACGCGGUAAUACGUAGGUGGCAAGACGUUAUCCGGAAUUAUUGGGCGUAAACGGCGGCCGCCACCAAGUNGNUACCAAACAGAUCUUAGAUGGUUGAAAAGCCCCACGGGAUCACAAACACCCGNAGAGAAGAGGUCCCAUUGGGAAACAACNUGGGGGCAGAACUUGACAAUUUGACGAACGAAGACAACAGGAGGGCAACUCCCCAUGAGGAGNAANACGGGUAAACNAGAGCGUAAGAACAAAAGGAGAGGGACCCCCAGAGGAAAGGGNAACUACUCGAGUCUGGAACUGAACCCUAGAGGGGCNAAAACACGUGAGGAGCACCCAGGAAUAACCNGGUGAGACCCCCGAACACAAGAGAGAGUGAAGGGGCCCCUAAGAGAGANAANAAACUGCGGAGAGAUAGCAGGA